This 253-nucleotide ribosomal RNA is filed under the name uncultured bacterium. Its description in RNAcentral is "partial 16S ribosomal RNA". It matches the Rfam family "Bacterial small subunit ribosomal RNA", at positions 524 to 776 of the family's 1533-position model. The record is from RNAcentral.
UACAGGGGGUGCAAACGUUGCUCGGAAUCAUUGGGCGUAAAGCGCACGUAGGCGGUCUGUUAUGUCGGAUGUGAAAGCCCUCGGCUCAACCGGGGAACUGCGUGUGAUACUGGCGGGCUUGAAUUCGGGAGAGGGAUGUGGAAUUCCAGGUGUAGCGGUGAAAUGCGUAGAUAUCUGGAGGAACACCGGUGGCGAAGGCGGCAUCCUGGACCGAGAUUGACGCUGAGGCGCGAAAGCAUGGGGAGCGAACGGG